CCCAUCGUCCGUCACACCCUUAAUCACCCUAACCCUUCACUUUUUCUCCAUCAUUGAAAUGUAACCCAGACAUCAACAAAAAAAUAUAUGGGUUCCCUCCUUUUCCUUUCUGUAAGCAGCAUAUUCUACUAGACCACCGGAUAAUGGAAAAUCCGAUGGUCUUCAGCCUUAUCCUCCACUUUUCCAUUAGUCCUGCAAUUCAUCCUUCAACUUUAUAUCAUUUCAAUAGCAUUUUCAGCUUAAAUCAUACCCUAAAGAGAUUUCCACUGCCCUGCGACCCCUGCAAAGUUGAAAAGUUGAAGGUCCAUUGGGUUUGAGAUUGUUAACCUCCUGAUUUUAUGAGUCUGAAAGAGGGAGCUUCCAAAUUUCCCUUUUCCCCUUUUUACAUCAGCCAGCAAAGAUGGGGAAGAUGAGUCCUUUUCCUGCCUCCAAUUUUACUCUGUAAUUUGGGGUCUUUUUGAGAAUCUAAAUUUGAAUUCUUAAGGCCUCACUUGAGGACCGUUGCAAACUCCUUCUCAAAUUUGGCUAUAAAAGAGACUUUGGGCUCUCAUUUUUGGGGAGCAAGAAAAGCAAGCAAAAAAACAAGAAUAACCAAGUAAGGAAAUCAGAAGAAGAUAUUACAAUUAGUUCGUAUUACUAUUUCUAUCUCGUUUUCUCGCUCUCUUUUCGAAGUUGAAGUUUGAGUUCGAGUUCAAAUUUUCGAUGAGGAGCCCCCCUAGUUCGCUGCUCCACACAAGGUCAGCCCUCUUUCUCUCCUCUUUUGUUUAUGUCAUUCGACCCUUAUUAUGGGAAGACUCAAUCUAAUCUGUUUAGAUUACUGGCUUUCAUAUCAUUUCUUUAUGUGUCACUAUUUCGUCAACACGUUUAUCUUUGGCCUAGUUACAUGUUGGGGAAUAAGUGUGUUGGUUUUUAAAUCCUUUUUCAAAGCUCUGCUAUUUAUAUCACAGAGUAAUGUCGUUACCCAAGUCGUUAUUCAUUUUUUCUCUCUGAGAUACAUGAAUAUAAUUUGUUUUGGCUUUCUGAUUCACUCAACUUGGUCACUGCGUGGGGUUUGCUUUGUACUUUAAAUGUGCAAUAAUAUGUAGAUUAGAGUAAACAACAAUAUGGAUUGGAAAGGUUGUGUCUGGUCGAAAAUAAAGAGUAUGUUGAUCUACUAUGUAAAAUUCAUCUUGUUAUCUCGUCUCUGUCUCUUUCCAGCCGGUCUAUUCUUGUUCUGUGAAUACGUAAAUUGGUUUUGGCUUUAAACUAGAUUGAUGUUGUUAUCUGUUUUCUGGCAAAUUGAGUUCAAGAACAUGUGUUGACUUGAUUGACCUUUAUUUCAACAUACAGUUGUUUUACGUCUAAACGUACGAAUUUGCUCUUCCAUCUCACUUUCACCAUCUUUUCUGUUAUCUCGUCUAGAUUUCGUGAACAUGUUGUCUUGUGUGAAGUCGUACCAAAAUUUGAAAUGUUGUCGUAGACUCUAUAAAAAAUGGUGUUGUAUGUAUGUUGCUUACCCCGUUUUAGUAUCACCUAAGAAUCAAAUAUAGAUUCAUCUUAAGUUUCUGUGGUUUUACUGUAUGUGUCCGUUUCAUACCUAAAAUACUCCAUACAUGAAUAACCCAUUCCCCUUUUGUUGUUUAUUAAUGAAUACGAUCCUGUGGAGACUUGGAAGGCUAUGCUCCAUUAGGCACCUUGUUGGUGUGUCUGGUUACUUUCUUUGAGUUAAGGAGCAUAAUCUGAUUUUCCUCAUUUAUUAAGGCCACUUUUUGUUUCAAACUUCACUGUUUCUCUUUUUGUUUCUUUGUUUUCGUUGUUUGUUUUCUGUAAAGUAAACCAACAACAAUGACAUUCAUGCCUUAUAUUCUGUAGUUGUAGUUUUGUACUUGUGUUUUACCUUUGUUUAGCUAACAUUUUAAAGUGUCCCAACUGGAAACACUCUGUGAUAUACUAACCUAUCGCCAGGAUCCUUUCCUGUGUCUUAACUAUUCUUCAACAUCUAAUUAUAAUUUUAUAUCAUAGUAGCAGAAAAUAUUAACCAAGCUGUAGAAAUUUUGUUUGUCGAGAUAAGCCAUAGACAUCUCUAUAGGGCAGCAUGUUCCUCUAAAAUUUUUCUGUCCAGUGAACGUCUUUAGUGUCCUACUUGUCAUUUUUGUAGAGUGAGUUCUAGAAAGAGUAUGUGAGUUAUCCCGUCUUCUUUUGUUCAUCACCUAUUCUAUCUCGUUUAUACCAUAGAGGCUGUUUACAAGUGAAUAUGAAAUGUGUACGUUGGUUGGUUGAUAAUAUGGGUUCAAAUCACUGUCAGAAUAGUAUAAGAACAAAAAUGAUUCACUAAAAUGAUUUCGAUUUCACAUAUUAGCUGUUCGAUGAAUCUUUGCCAAAUUGUUUAUAGUUCGGAUUGUCAUUUUAAAAUCUGAAGCUAACCCCCCCGCGCGCUUACACUUUAGUAAAGCCGGUUUCUUCCCUUAUUCCUGUCAUUUAUAAUAUUUGCAUGUAUCGGUUGAUUGAUUUCUUUUAAAAUGCAAAGUUCAUUAACUUACUAAUCUAGUUCAUCUUAGCUGUCAAAUAUAUUCAACAACAAAAUGUUUGAGAUCGUUUUGACAUCGAUUUGGUUGUUUUUUUCUCUUUUAGACGUGGUAAGGAUCACUUGAAUAUGUAUAUGUUUGGCCUAAAAUAUGUUGACUGCUUGAUCUUAUUACAGAAGGAUUCUUAAAAGGUCUGAGAUUUGACGAAAGCUUGCUUGCGAUCAUGGAAUGUUAUAACUUCUUCUUUUGCUUGAACGCAUACAUGUGACUACACAUUGGGUCAAAUAUAUAUUCUGUUGUUGUGUCACUACAUGAUCAACUUGCAAAAUAACUUGAAAAUGUUGUGUCGUUUAAAGGAAACUACAGGAUCCUCAGAAGAAAAAUAAACGUGUGUCCAUGGAGUUAAAUCUGGAUCAUGUUUCAAACUUCUGUAGUAUAUUUAUAUUUACAAAGAUAUUGAGUUCAUUGAAAUUGUUGUGCUCACUUGAUAGCUUUAAAGGAUUCUAUGAACAUGGAUUGUAUCUUUACCUAGACUACGCAUGUUGUGGGAGUUAAACGUUAGUUUCGAACUCAUAUACGUUCAGAUUUGCUGUGAUGUUUGUGAAAGUGAUAUGUUAGAUCUCUUUUGCCUAGAAAUUGUCCUUUGCUUGGAGUUUAUGAUGCUGGUAGUUUGCUAAUCGAGCCAUCAAUGUUUGUCAAGAAGUCUAAAUAACACUAAAAUACCGACUAUAUUUUAUCUUUGACGCCACUCUAAAAUACAAGAUACGAGCCUGCAACCACUGUCAAUUUGGUCUGUUCACUAGUGCCUUUUGGGGGAGUCUUGGAGAGUUGGAAAUGGAGGCUUUGAUAUUAUUUUCAGUAUCUUUGGAAUGGUUUUAUAUUCAGUGACAUUGUGUAACAGUGAGGUUCCACUAUUUUGCUCAUUAGCGUACUUUUUGAACCAUUGAUGUAAGGUUCUUGCAAGUUAAGUUUAUAUAUCAUGGGCUACUGUAGUUAUAACAAGCAUUAGAAAGGGGAGAUGUGGUGUUAGUUAUAACUUAAAAGGAUUUAAGUUACAUACAAUAUCAUUGUAUGUAAUAUGGUUUACCUUCCUUAUUUUUGAAAUUACCAAUCCACUCAUGAAAUAGAAAUUAUUGUAGUUGGCUUUUUCUUAUAAGAUGGUAAAUUAUUCUUUCCACCGUAUGUGUAUGUAAAGAACCACUUAAUCCGUAGUUUUUGUUCCUAGAAAAGUAGAAAGCUGGUGUUCCCAUAGAUUAUUAUUACUCUUAUCAGAUUUAGAUUUAUUGGUGUUAUUCAGUUUAGGUAUUUUGAUGGAUAUAUCAUUGAGACUGUUGCAUUUUGGUGCUGUUUAAGCCUUUACAGUAUCCUUCAAUAUGGAACAAUUUUUAUUCACCAGAAUUUUUUUUCGUUAUCUUUCCCUUUAUUCUAUGAUGUGAAGCGUGUCUAAUACUUUGGUAUUUAGUUUUUUUUUUUUUUUUUUUAAGUAGGAAUAACCUCUUGGUUUUUUUUUCUAACUAGAUGAAGAGAUCAUAUUCCUAUGUUUAUGUUAACCCCCUGAUCAUAUUCCUACUCAAACCCCUGCUUAAAGGUUUCUGAAUUUGAUUUUUCUCAUCUUACAGGAUCUAUUUUACUUUGGUAUUAAAAUUGUAUUGUCUAAAUUGCGAAAUUGUGAAUUCAUCUGUUUUGUCUAGUUUAUUGCAUUUAAUCUUCGCUUGUAAUACUUGGUAGAACAUCCCCUUUUCUAAUUUUUAUUUCUCCUUUGUUUUAUAUGUACACUCGGGAGCGCAUUUAGGGUCCCACGAUUUGACUCCAUCUGUCCAAAUCAGAGAAUAAUAGAUCAUUUUGUAUUUCAUCUAGCAGUCCAGUGUCUCUUUCCN
RNAcentral lists this long non-coding RNA (4381 nucleotides) under Capsicum annuum. RNAcentral's name for it is "long non-coding RNA (CANN_LNC012081)". The record is from RNAcentral. Lineage: Eukaryota; Viridiplantae; Streptophyta; Magnoliopsida; Solanales; Solanaceae.